Pelobates cultripes (western spadefoot toad) is the source of this 250-nucleotide non-coding RNA. The record is from the annotation of a GenBank genome assembly. NCBI's taxonomy places the organism in Eukaryota, Metazoa, Chordata, Amphibia, Anura, Pelobatidae.
UGGUGGGAUCCAUGCAUGGUUUAUUUUAAUAAACGCUGGUGGUGGACAGGCGGCCGCGCUAGUCUGUGAUAACCUCGUGCCGAUCGCACGUCCCCGUGACGGUGACAACACAUUUGGAUGUCUGCCCUCUCUGGAAUCGUAACGGGGACUCAGGGUUCGAUUCCAAAGAGAGAGCUUGAGAAACGGCUACCACAUGCAAGGAAGGCAGCAGGUGCGCAAAUUACCCACUCCCGACGCGGGGAGGUAGUGA